RNAcentral lists this ribosomal RNA (490 nucleotides) under uncultured bacterium. Its description in RNAcentral is "partial 16S ribosomal RNA". It matches the Rfam family "Bacterial small subunit ribosomal RNA", at positions 30 to 507 of the family's 1533-position model. The record is from RNAcentral.
AUUGAACGCUGGCGGCAGGCCUAACACAUGCAAGUCGAACGGUAACAGGAAACAGCUUGCUGUUUCGCUGACGAGUGGCGGACGGGUGAGUAAUGUCUGGGAAACUGCCUGAUGGAGGGGGAUAACUACUGGAAACGGUAGCUAAUACCGCAUAACGUCGCAAGACCAAAGAGGGGGACCUUCGGGCCUCUUGCCAUCGGAUGUGCCCAGAUGGGAUUAGCUAGUAGGUGGGGUAACGGCUCACCUAGGCGACGAUCCCUAGCUGGUCUGAGAGGAUGACCAGCCACACUGGAACUGAGACACGGUCCAGACUCCUACGGGAGGCAGCAGUGGGGAAUAUUGCACAAUGGGGGCAAGCCUGAUGCAGCCAUGCCGCGUGUAUGAAGAAGGCCUUCGGGUUGUAAAGUACUUUCAGCGGGGAGGAAGGGAGUAAAGUUAAUACCUUUGCUCAUUGACGUUACCCGCAGAAGAAGCACCGGCUAACUCCGUG